GUGGAUUAGAUACCCGAGUAGUCCACGCCGUAAACGUUGGGCACUAGGUGUGGGUUCCUAUCGACGGAAUCCGUGCCGUAGCUAACGCAUUAAGUGCCCCGCCUGGGGAGUACGGCCGCAAGGCUAAAACUCAAAGGAAUUGACGGGGGCCCGCACAAGCAGCGGAGCAUGUUGCUUAAUUCGAGGCAACGCGAAGAACCUUACCUGGGCUUGACAUGUAGGGAAAAGCCGUAGAGAUACGGUGUCCUUUUGGGCCCUACACAGGUGGUGCAUGGCCGUCGUCAACU
Molecule: ribosomal RNA, 287 nt
Filed under: uncultured bacterium
Lineage: Bacteria
Description: partial 16S ribosomal RNA
Rfam family: Bacterial small subunit ribosomal RNA
Source: RNAcentral